GGGGUUGUGACUCAGUGGUAGAAUGCUUGCUUACCGUGCACGAGGCACUGGGUUUGAUUCUCAGCACCACA
This 71-nucleotide transfer RNA is filed under the name Marmota monax (woodchuck). RNAcentral's name for it is "tRNA.Gly". The record is from RNAcentral. Lineage: Eukaryota; Metazoa; Chordata; Mammalia; Rodentia; Sciuridae.